UCCUCACAAGGCCUUUCCUCUGUGCCUGUUCCUGUCACUUCAGAGCCUCCUGAAGUCCCUGUCAGAGACCAGGAACCAGGCCUGGGUUGGGGCCGGAGCGGACAUUCUCAACAAGGCAGGAUCUGGAAGCGGAAAC
Molecule: long non-coding RNA, 136 nt
Organism: Neogale vison (American mink)
Lineage: Eukaryota; Metazoa; Chordata; Mammalia; Carnivora; Mustelidae
Exons: 3
Source: RefSeq, a predicted model, not a curated record